This 54-nucleotide transfer RNA is filed under the name Asaccus sp. TG-2012. RNAcentral describes it as "partial tRNA-Cys". Lineage: Eukaryota; Metazoa; Chordata; Lepidosauria; Squamata; Phyllodactylidae. The record is from RNAcentral.
CCGAGUUGCAAGCUCGGAGACGGCCCCAAACACGGCCCGGGGCUUCUCCCGUUU